CCACAAAUUCACGAGAUAUUCACAAAGAGAUUAACGAUCUUCAAAGUCCCAAUAAAUUCAUGGGAUAUUUAUAGAUCAAAACUCUUCCUACAAACCUUCCUUUCAUGGAGAUCAAAUAGAUCAAAUUCAAAUAUUCCUACGUUCAAGAAAUACGCCACUAACGGAAUAUUUCUACGUUCAAGAAAUACGCCACUAAUGAUUACAUCAAGAAGAUCAAAUUCAAAUAUUCCUACGUUUAAGAAAUACGCCACUAACGGUUACAUCAAGAAGACAAACCCUACAAUCCAAGCCACUAACGGCUCUUGAAUUACGAAGAAAUCCAAGACAAAACGACCCUUGAAUUACAGAAAAAUUCAUAUCAAAUCCUACGUUUGAGAAAUACGUUAUUAACAACCCUCAAAUUAUAGAGAAAAUCAAGAGAGGAGAAUUAAGGGAGGAACAGAUUUAUAUUCACAAUUAUUUAUCAAUAAAAUUCUUGUUUCUUCAUAUUUUUAUUUUUGAUUGAAGUUUAAUUUUCAUGAAUUAAAUUAUGUUGAAAACAAAUUAGCAUGCCCAGUGGGACCAAAUUUGUCCUUCAUCUCUUUUCUCAUAAAUCAUAUCUGCAAAUUUGUAGUCGCAUCAAGAUGGAAGCUCUAUGGGUACUUCAAGACUCGUCAUCAAGUCUACACUUCGACAAUCGUCAUCAAAUCUGACAUCUAAAAAAAUUUGAGGGACUACAAAAUUUGUGGGACUGUACAAAAAGAAUCCAAAUUCUGUUAGAGUUCUUAGAGUCUAAUUUACCCUAAACCCUGAAUUAUGCCUAUAUAAAGGGCAAAUAUUCCAUUAAGGAGGCAUCUCCAGUAUCCCAUAAAUUCACAGGAUAUUCACAAAGAGAUCAAUGAUCUUUAAAGUCCCAAUAAAUUCAUGGGAUAUUUACAGAUCAAAACCCUUCCUUCUUGAUAAUCAAAUACAGACAAAUCCUCCUUUCAUGAAGAUCAAAUCCAAAUGUUCUUACGUUCAAGAAAUACGUCACUAACCUCAAAUUACGAAGAUCAAAUCCAAAUGUUCUUACGUUCAAGAAAUACGUCACUAACCUCAAAUUACGAAGAAACCUACGUUCAAGAGAUACGUCACUAACCUCAAAUUACGGAGAAAAUCAAGAGAGAACAACUAGGAGAGGAAUAGAUUUGUACCCACAAUCGUUUAUCAAUAAACUUCUUGAUUCUUCAUAUUUUUA
This 1216-nucleotide long non-coding RNA is filed under the name Capsicum annuum. RNAcentral's name for it is "long non-coding RNA (CANN_LNC017746)". The record is from RNAcentral. Lineage: Eukaryota; Viridiplantae; Streptophyta; Magnoliopsida; Solanales; Solanaceae.